AAUUUUAUAAAACACGUUCUCAUAUUCUUCUAUGGGAAUUAGGGCAACAACAAGAUCGACCCACUCGAUCGAUAGGAUUCACUUCACCGGCGACAGGUCUACCGUAAUUUCUACUCGGUAACGUAUUCCGAUCAUCUAUUUUGGUCUCAGCAAUGUAUAACGUCUCUUGAUGUACAAAAUUCUUUCAUGUUUUGUCAAAUUUUACCUUUAAAUCGAGCAGUACGGACGGUCCUGUAUUUGCAUGCUGAUAUUUGUCUCAGGCUUUUGUUCAGGGACGGAUUAAUUUAUCAGCGCCGCUUAAUUUUAGAGUAAUUUGUGUAAUUCUCCUAGGUGAUGCGAUAAAUUAUGGUUUGCUGUAGAGGAGAUCAGUUAAGUAGGUUAUAGAAACGCGGAGUAGUAUAAUGUAAAUUGAUAGGAAGUUUACAGGAAAAAUAAAUGGAAUGAGUUAGUUCUGAACUUCUGAUUCUUAAGGUCCUGUCCUGUUUUAUAUAAGUACAGGUACGUAUAUACUUGAUAAUGAUCUGAAGCAUGAAUACACGUUCCUUCGAAUAAUUUUUAUGUUUAUAAUGAGUGAUCUAUAUCAUUGUGUAAAUUGUGUGUCUAGCUACACACUGGUUUUUAUAUACACAUACUAGAAUAUGUAUUCAUGUACUAAUUAUUGAUAACUGAUGUACGAUGAACGAACAGAGUUGUACUUAUUUUAUUACGCCUGCUCUAGUGAAUGACAAGUCUUUAAAUUUAAUCUAGGCGUUUUCUUAUCUUCAUGGGAUAUGGCGAUCUCUCUUUUUUUGAGAUAGGGCUGGAGGAAGGAUUUUUGUUUAGUGGCUUUAAUAUGAUGCCCUUAGCUUGCAAUCUACCUUUUUACCUUUUAGGUGCUUCUCUCUUGGAAGUGUUUGAUGCCAAAACAGAUAUGUAAACUUGGUUUAGAAUGGCUGUUUAAUUUUUCAGUUGCUACAUAGAUAUUGACGGGAGAUUUGUACGAGUAACUUUUAGGAUGCUUUAACUUCAAAUCAAUCUGUAUCUUCAUGGGAAGCCUUUUGUUGAAUGCCCUUGACUUUCAGGCUUCAUAAGAAAUUCUGUAAUGCUCUAAGGUAGGUAAUGUACUAAUGUUCCAUAUAGCCAAUAUCGGAAUGUAUUAACAUGUAUCUGCAGCUUCUAUGAUACCUGUAACUGGAAUGCAAUUCACUUCCUACUUCUAAAAAGUAAUAGUGCAGUGUCAGGUCAUAUUUCCUUCAUGGAGGAUCUCAAUUAUCAAGUAUCUCUUGCUUGUAGGAGAGCAACUCCAGAAAGUGCUUCUCAGAUUCUGCUAGCCUUAACUUGCUAAGACGAAAAUCCUAAUGCAGAAAAGAGAGCACUAGUUUGAUUUCUUGAAAGUUAUGCUAAGUUGAUAUAUAUGCCUUCACCCUAGCAUUGAAAAACAGAGAGAUCAAAAUAAAUCCAACGUCAUGGUUGCAGUUACGCGUGCACAAUCUUGAUCAGCUUUCUGAGUUACAUUCCUGCUGCAAAAAAAAAAAAAUCGUAGUCCAUAUAUUGCUUGAGGUUACAUUGACAAGAUUUUUUCCUGCCCUUAGUGUAUUGAGGUGAUUAAUCGAGCCUGAAGUUCUAUCUUUGAAAUUCACUCUUCCCAAGCUGAAACUUAAUCAUAUGUGAAGAACUUCACUUACUUCAGAUAUGCAAUUUGUUAUUCAUUGGUUCAUACAAAAUACGCUGAAAUUAGAGUCAUGCCCUGAAAACUCUGAGGUUAAAAGAAAACCCUUAACACUCAAAAUUCUUGGCAAUUUUCAUGUUGUUUUCACAUGCUGUGAUGUAUUCCAUAUUCUAUUCAUGUAAUGCUUAUGAUGCCUCUGCAUUCUAUUUCUUUUAGGGAUAAUACACAAGUACCCCUCAACCUAUGUUCGAAAUUUCAGAGACACAUUAUACUAUACUUAAGUCCUAUUACCUCUGAACUUAUUUUAUUAAUAAUUUUCUACCCCUUUUCGGCCUACGUGGCAUUAUCUUGUGGGCCCAACGCUGGUUAACUUUUUUUUUUUUAAGUUAGUGCCACGUAAGCCGAAAAGGGGUAGAAAAUUACUUAUAUGAUAAGUUCGGGGUUAAUAGGAUCUUAGUAUAGUAUAAGUGUGUCUUUGGAUUUCAGGCAUAGGUUGAGGGGGUACUUGUGCAUUUUCCCUUUCUUUUAAUUUAUUUUUGGCUAUUAUGGUUCUAUUGAUUUGUGUGACCUUGUGUUUUUAUUAGGUAAUUUUGGAUGUAUAUACAGAUCACAACCAUCCAGAUCUAUCAUUGAGGUUCAUUCCUGUUGGAACAUUCCAGACUAAGAGUGCGUGGGCUAGAAAACAAGGUAGUUCUUUGCCCUAAUGUCUAUUUGACCUCCAUUUUGCUACUUCCCCAUAGCACUUGUUUCCAUCAAGUCCAGAAAAAUCUCAUGAGUGUUGCCUACAGACCAUUAUAGCUUCAGGAUCACUAGACACAUGAUGGCUAUUUUUGUAGUGACAUGUCUAAUGGGACCCUUCAUCCUAUUCCAUAAGUGCUAGUUUCCACUAUGGAAUUUUCCCAUUAGAUUAAGCCAUUUCCUUUUUGCAGCCACUCAAGCAUCUGGAAUACUUGGAUCUUCUUAGGCCCACUGAUGCUGACUCCCACGUGAAGUAAUAUAUGUUCUUCAAAUGCCAUGCACACAAAUGUUCCAUUGAGCUUCAUUUCUUUUGACCGGGGUCUCUUUGGCUUCUUGUUUCCUUCCAGAACCUAGAAGGGAGUCCAUGCUGAGGUAUUGGGAAUGGGCUAUAUUGUACUCCUUUGGAAACUUCGAUUUCCCACCUGCAAUAAUUAAUGUGUGAGUAUGAAUUUCUAAUAAAGUUAGAGCACUGAUAUAUUUAGCACUCUUCUAGUAGGUACAAUUGAAAUUUCAAAAAAUCUCCUGGCGUGACAUAAACACAAGUGAAGCUGGAACUGAGAAGAAAUUUCUUUAAAACACAUCCUUUUCCUUUGACUAGAUUUUUGUGAGCAUUAUGUGGUUGGGAGUUUAGUGGAUGUAUUUCUUCAACACAUGAACACGAGCACAUGACAUCUGCUUGUAUACAUAUUUUAAAAAAGAAUAUAUAAGAGAAGUCUGUACCCAUUAUUAUAGACAAGUCCUGAUGCUUUGGUAUUCCCCACCUGUUGGCUUAAACUUUUGGAUCUGCUGUUGUUGCAGUUCUUCUAUGUUAUUAUUGUUGUUAAAUAUUAGUAUAUACAAUGGAUUUAGUUAAGUAGUUAAAAAUCGUGGACUCAAAAUAAUAUAAGUUAUGAAUUUAGAAG
RNAcentral lists this long non-coding RNA (3288 nucleotides) under Solanum lycopersicum (tomato). RNAcentral describes it as "partial TCONS_00011580". Lineage: Eukaryota; Viridiplantae; Streptophyta; Magnoliopsida; Solanales; Solanaceae. The record is from RNAcentral.